UAAUUUUGAUUACGUAUGAGGCUGCGCCCUGGCCGACGGAUGAGCAGGGGUACCGAGCCUCCUCCAAGGACCACUUCUGACAGUGUACCGAACACCGGACUGAACACCGGACGACCGAACACUGGACUGAACUCGAGACACGAUCACUUCGCGAUGGCGAUGUGAAAAAGAGGGAACUUGCAAAAUUUUGUUGUCCCCAGUUGAAGGUGUUGCUCAAGGAGGGACUGGUUAUGGUUGAAAUAAUUGUGGUUUAAAAAGUUUGAAUCCCAUCAGCAGAUUUACUGCAUGCCAAGAACUGCAAAUGCUCGACAGCAAGAAAUGCCAAGAACUUUGGAGCCUUUGAAUCACCAUUCUCCCAUGCAAGAGAGGUGGACUUAUGUGUGUGCAUGGGGCCCUCCGAUCCCCAUCCAAACUGGCAUCUUGGCAUGCAUGGAACCGGACUCCAUGUAGUGAUGUGGAGAGUCUGGAAAGAGGGUGGCACAGGGUUCGUAUAUUGGGGUCCAAACUGUUAUGAGAAGUUAAUGGUGGCUAGUGCUGAGUGAUAAGAUUUCAAUGUGGCCUUCGCAAGUGAUGGAGUUUUAUUUUGUCCUGGUGAAAUUUUUUCCUCAUCACAUGAGCCGGUUGCUUCAGCCAGGCUAGAGUGAUUUCGCAGUGGCAUGCAGGACAUUGAGUACUUGAAGCUCUAUUCUUCAACAUGUGAUCAAAAAGAGGCUUUGGCUCUUCUGGAAAAGAGAGGUGUCUAUCUCGGCACCAAGCAUUACGCACUUGAUCACCCACCAAUUGAUGUAAUGCAAGCUGAGAUCUUCCAAACUUGCAGAUCCUAAAGAAGCAAGAGGCAUCAAAAUUCUCUUCAUUCUUCCUCCUCCUGGGCUUUUAUCGCCGUCACGUGUUUGAAGAAACCUAUCCCACAUGGCUUGUCAGGACAGCACAAGUUGAGAGAUCCAGACUGCUAUGUGAUCACACCUUGUGGUCCUGCUGCAAGUUCUAUGUUUGGUAUUUCAUCACAUUGGCUUUCGUCUGACUAACAGUGUAACUGCUGACAAGGCUGUGGAGUGGCAGAUGGUGAAAGUUCUCUCGCAUCCUGUGUCAAAACUGUUUGGUCUGUCUCAACUGGUGAGUCUGAUGGGUUGCAUUAUACCACACAAGCUUGUGUUCUCUGAAGUCAAAAGCACAGGGUCCCCACAUGUCUGUUUCUUAGAAAAUGUGGUUUCCUUUGGGCAUGAUCACUUUCCAUCAAAAUCUCAGACCACUCGUGUUUGAAACUACAUCCCUCAGUAGGACUCCAUUUGGAUUAAGUCAAGAUAUUUUCGGGCCAUCUUUAUAAGAAAAAUACUUGAUACACCUCAUACUAAAUAGGUAUGGGUUUGGGUUAUCAAAAUUGAGAACUUUGGUCUUUCUUAUGAAUGGUUGAAAGGAAUUAGGGGGUGAAUGGCUUGCCAAGGUGCUACAUGUUUUCGGCUUGGGGAACCGAUGGGUUGCAACCUUAGGUUGGUUGAAAUUUUUGCCCUAGUUAGGUAAAGUUUAGCAAGAUUGGGCUCUUGAAAGCGUGUGAAAAGGCUGCAAGUGGUUGUAUGUCGUCAAUGUACAGCCCUAUUAGAAGCGUGACUGCAAGGGUGGCUUGAAACCAACCACUUGUGCAAGUGAUGUUGUAGUUGUCAAUGUGCACCCUAGCGGAAAGCUGUCCAGUUGUUGAUAUCAAUGGCAA
This is a long non-coding RNA of Elaeis guineensis (African oil palm), 1705 nucleotides long. RefSeq lists it as uncharacterized. Lineage: Eukaryota; Viridiplantae; Streptophyta; Magnoliopsida; Arecales; Arecaceae. The record is from RefSeq and is a predicted model, not a curated record.